UCACGGUUUGCACCGGCAGUCUCGUUAGAGUUCCCGACAUGACUCGCUGGCAACUAACGACAGGGGUUGCGCUCGUUAUAGGACUUAACCUGACACCUCACGGCACGAGCUGACGACAACCAUGCAGCACCUUGUGAUCUGUCCGAAGAAAACUCUAUCUCUAGAGCUGUCAGACCACAUUUAAGCCCUGGUAAGGUUCCUCGCGUAUCAUCGAAUUAAACCACAUGCUCCACCGCUUGUGCGGGCCCCCGUCAAUUCCUUUGAGUUUCAUUCUUGCGAACGUACUCCCCAGGUGGGAUACUUAUCACUUUCGCUUAGCCACCCAGCUUGCGCCGGACAGCUAGUAUCCAUCGUUUACGGCGUGGACUAC
Molecule: unclassified non-coding RNA, 370 nt
Filed under: uncultured Flavobacteriaceae bacterium
Lineage: Bacteria; Pseudomonadati; Bacteroidota; Flavobacteriia; Flavobacteriales; Flavobacteriaceae
Description: contains 16S-23S intergenic spacer region
Source: RNAcentral